GUGAAGAACGUAGCGAAAUGCGAUAAGUAAUGUGAAUUGCAGAAUUCAGUGAAUCAUCGAAUCUUUGAACGCACAUUGCGCCCGCCAGUAUUCUGGCGGGCAUGCCUGUUCGAGCGUCAUUUCAACCAUCAAGCCCCCGGCUUGUGUUGGGGACCUGCGGCUGCCGCAGGCCCUGAAAACCAGUGGCGGGCUCGCUGUCACACCGAGCGUAGUAGAUUUUCAUCUCGCUCAGGGCGUGCUGCGGGUUCCGGCCGUAAAAAGCCUUAUUUACCCAAGGUUGACCUCGGAUCAGGUAGGAAGACCCGCUGAACUUAAGCAUAUCAAUAAGCGGAGGA
Molecule: unclassified non-coding RNA, 335 nt
Filed under: soil metagenome
Description: partial contains 5.8S ribosomal RNA, internal transcribed spacer 2, and large subunit ribosomal RNA
Rfam family: 5.8S ribosomal RNA (bases 2-119)
Source: RNAcentral